Molecule: transfer RNA, 70 nt
Filed under: Heterocephalus glaber (naked mole-rat)
Lineage: Eukaryota; Metazoa; Chordata; Mammalia; Rodentia; Bathyergidae
Rfam family: tRNA
About the family: Transfer RNA (tRNA) molecules are approximately 80 nucleotides in length. Their secondary structure includes four short double-helical elements and three loops (D, anti-codon, and T loops).
Source: Rfam by way of RNAcentral
GGGGUUGUAGCUCAGUGGUAGAGCACUUGCCUAGCAUGCACAAGGCCCUGGUUCAAUCCCUAGCACCCCA